AGCUCUCGGCGCUCGCCUGUGAUCAGAAGAAAACAGGAUGUGCCCGGAGCUGGAGCAGUGACAGCACGAGCCGACCGAGGCUCACCUGCUGGCGGUCUUUGUAGAGGCAUUUGAGGAUUAUUCAGCUCCGGAAGGUCUGUGCGAGGAAAUGCUAUCUCUGCAAGUAGGAGGAGGUGCCUACCCCUACCCGCCUUGAUUAUUGCCACCAAAAGGACUGCUCUGCUCCACGGUUAGAAGAGGUGAUUGCUAGCGUGGACAAGGUUAUGAGGAUUAUGAUCACAUGUGCAGCUCUGCAUAACUAUCCACUUGGAGAUGAUGCUGAUUCCUUAGAGAAUACGUGCAAAGUCCUGGUUAACCAUCAGCUUUCUGCGCUUUUCAUCCAAAAGAUUGGAUAAUUGCUUUUUAUCAGCUUUCUCUCUUCCUUUU
Nothoprocta perdicaria is the source of this 426-nucleotide long non-coding RNA. RefSeq lists it as uncharacterized. The transcript is spliced from 2 exons. NCBI's taxonomy places the organism in Eukaryota, Metazoa, Chordata, Aves, Tinamiformes, Tinamidae. The record is from RefSeq and is a predicted model, not a curated record.